Molecule: ribosomal RNA, 460 nt
Filed under: uncultured bacterium
Lineage: Bacteria
Description: partial 16S ribosomal RNA
Rfam family: Bacterial small subunit ribosomal RNA
Source: RNAcentral
CCUACGGGUGGCAGCAGUGAGGAAUAUUGGUCAAUGGGCGCGAGCCUGAACCAGCCAAGUCGCGUGAGGGAAGACGGCCCUACGGGUUGUAAACCUCUUUUGCCGGGGAGCAACGGGCGCCACGUGUGGCGCCACUGAGAGUACCCGGAGAAAAAGCAUCGGCUAACUCCGUGCCAGCAGCCGCGGUAAUACGGGGGAUGCGAGCGUUAUCCGGAUUUAGUGGGUUUAAAGGGUGCGUAGGCGGAGCGGUAAGUCAGUGGAAAAAUGGAGGGGCAAAAACCCUGACCGACGUUGAAACUGGCGCUCUUGAGUGGAAGAGAGGUAUGCGGAAUGCGUGGUGUAGCGGUGAAAUGCAUAGAUAUUACGCAGAACCCCGAUUGCGAAGGCAGCAUGCCGGCUUCCUACUGACGCUGAAGCACGAAAGCGUGGGGAUCGAACAGGAUUAGAUACCCGGGUAGUC